AGCUGCUAUUCCAGCUCAACCACACUGAAAGAACCCCCAUUGGAGUGAUCGUCCCAGGUCCAGCAUCGAGAAGGGUCUAGGUGCUCUACAGCCAUGUGCUUUUGGAAAGGAAAGAAGGCCUAGAAGUCUAGCAGCUGGUUCAGUAGUAUGUGGAUACCAAGAGCUGAAGUGAACAUAUCAGAUAACUAUUUUGGGAUGGAAGAUUCCAGAAGACCCCACAAAACCAUUGCUUUGAUUCCUAUAUGAUUUCUAUGAAGAAGUACUAGGAAAAUGGAGUUUCCUUUGAAAUACCAUAGGAACCAGUUCAAAGACUUCUGGGGUACACUGGAAUGGUUGCAUGUCGUACCAAAUUACCAAGGGAUAUCAGAUGCUGCUGAGGCAAUCUUGUGACAGCUCUGGCAUCCCAACAUAUUCCAGGACUGUGAGGCAUUCAAGGCCCAACCCUAAAAGGGGAUGAGAAGAGGUCUCAACACCUUGCAGGAUUGGGAAGUCAGUGUCCAGGAGAAGGUUCUGUC
Molecule: long non-coding RNA, 515 nt
Organism: Chelonia mydas (Green sea turtle)
Lineage: Eukaryota; Metazoa; Chordata; Testudines; Cheloniidae
Exons: 5
Source: RefSeq, a predicted model, not a curated record